GGAGUUCUUCCCUCUAAAAAUGGUGGUCUGCAAGAAGCUUGUGAUCCAGGUUGUUUAUGCACUGAUUUGCAGUGAAAAACCAAAAAAGAAUAAAAAAGAAUAUGGAGGAGAGAAUGUUCGGGGAGACGAGGGCAGCAAGGAUUGUCUGUUCUGCAGAGAGAGUUGGAGACCAGGUUUUUUCGUUACAUCAGAAUUCUUCCGAAUGGAAUAUGGCGAGCCACCCAAAGUUUAAAGAGUGUUCCUUUAUGAGAGUGUUGCUUGCAUUACAGAGGGAAGCAUCUUCACCAGAAAUCUCUUCUAACCAUCUGAAAGUGUGGUAGGAUUGUUCGGAGCCUCGUGAUACUUUAUUUUUUCAUUGGAAUUCCAUCUAUACUGUGACUAAGGACAUUUUUUCUUCCCGGGUGAACAUUUUUUGUCUUAUCGAGAAAGACAAGAAAAAAGUUGCACCCAACAAUAAAUCUGAGCUCAGCUGAGACUUACAUUAUCAACUGAACAGAAUUCAGAGUUUAACAGACUAUUACACAUACACUGACAACAAAACACUAACACCACAUCUUUUGUUUGAAAUUAAUGUUUAAUGUUCUUUUUUUUUUUUUUUUUACAUUUAUUAAUACAGUUAUAUUUACUGCACUUACCUUUGAUGUUCUUGUGUGACUUACUACUGAAGUUGUGAAUUCACUUUACUAUUGGCCCUUUAUUCUAAAGUUAGUCGGACCUAAUGUGUACUUACCCAAAGAAGGGUUACACAUGCAAUAACGGUCAGCAACCCGAUUCGAGCCUGAUGGUAGCUGACAAACUGUAAGGUUUUGGUCCAGGUUCGGGUCAGUUUUUCAAGUACAGCGCAAGUUAGGGGCUGUUCACACAUAUUUUUGCUUGUGUCUGCACUGUUUUUCAAUUGUUUCUCUAUGUAAACAUGUGCUGGACUCAAUUUGACAAUUGUGCCGCAUCUCACUUUUUUUCUUUUUUUCAGUCUCGUGCAGGGCUGCUAUUUUUUUUGGACACCGUGUCAAUUUAUAAAGAACAUACAGUUUUUUAAAACGUAUAUUGAGACUCCUCUGUUCUAUUUCGUUUGUUGCGCUAUGUUUAGCUUUUUUUACGCAGUCAUCACACAGCUUCAACAUCCUUAAGAUAUUCCAGUUCCAAAGUUUCAGCACUUGAUAAAAGCUCCUCAGUGGUCAGGCUGUUUCUGAUCCAAACUAUUCUGUGGCUUCAGCUGAGAAAACACAAAGGAAGGCCAAAAUAAGCAGCAGCUGCUUGCUUUUCAGCACCGCUGGCUGGAAUUGACAGUUGGAGACCCUGCCCAUAGAAAACGGCAGGAGAGAAGGAAAGAAGGGGAUAGAAAGAAAUAGAAGAGCAAAAUGUGCCACUCACACCUCAGAAAGUCUCUCUCUUGUUUCCUCGCUGUGUUACCGCCUUUCUCUGCCGGAUAAAUGCACAUGCACACAAGGGGUGAAUCCCAUGAAGCCUGUCUAGAAAAUGUCUAGGAAAUAUUACUCCAAAAUGAAAUGAAAGAAGUAAUAAAUGAUAGUUUUCUUAAAAGGAAAUGAAGCUUGCAUUAAGAUUUUUUUGCAUUUACAGUGGACAGAACAUAAGUGAACAUUACUGUAUCAUAGUAAAGAGGAUCAGUAGGGCUUUACAAUGAGAUUGCAAGCAUUAACAUUAGUUAACUACUUAAUUAAA
This is a long non-coding RNA of Myxocyprinus asiaticus (Chinese sucker), 1680 nucleotides long. RefSeq lists it as uncharacterized. Lineage: Eukaryota; Metazoa; Chordata; Actinopteri; Cypriniformes; Catostomidae. The transcript has 3 exons. The record is from RefSeq and is a predicted model, not a curated record.